This 1411-nucleotide ribosomal RNA is filed under the name uncultured Spirochaetota bacterium. RNAcentral describes it as "uncultured Spirochaetes bacterium 16S ribosomal RNA". It matches the Rfam family "Bacterial small subunit ribosomal RNA". The record is from RNAcentral. Lineage: Bacteria; Pseudomonadati; Spirochaetota.
AGUCGAACGGCAGCGGGGAGCAAUCUCCGCGAGAGUGGCGAACGGGUGAGUAACACGUGGGUGACCUGGCCCAGUCUUGGGGAUAGCCUGUGGAAACAUGGGGUAAUACCGAAUAGAUCCGGAGGGGUAAAGACCUUUGGGGAAAGGCGCGGACGCGCCGGACGGGGAUGGGCCCGCGGCCCAUUAGUUAGUUGGCGGGGUAAAGGCCCACCAAGGCGACGAUGGGUAGCCGGCCUGAGAGGGUGGACGGCCACACUGGGACUGAGAGACGGCCCAGACUCCUACGGGAGGCAGCAGCUAAGAAUCUUCCGCAAUGGCCGAAAGGCCGACGGGGCGACGCCGCGUGGACGAAGAAGGCCGCAAGGUUGUAAAGUCCUUUUUUCCGUGAAGAAUAAGUGGGGGAGGAAAUGCCCCUGUGAUGACGUUAGCGGAGGAAUAAGCCCCGGCUAAUUACGUGCCAGCAGCCGCGGUAAUACGUAAGGGGCGAGCGUUGUUCGGAAUUAUUGGGUGUAAAGGGCGCGUAGGCGGCUCCGUAAGUCCGGUGUCAAAGGUGGCGGCCCAACCGCCGCAGUGCGCUGGAAACCGCGGAGCUUACGAGUUUAGGAGGGGGAGCUGGAAUUCCAGGUGUAGGGGUGAAAUCUGUAGAUAUCUGGAAGAACACCGGUGGCGAAGGCGGGCUCCUGGCCAUAGACUGACGCUGAGGCGCGAAAGCGUGGGGAGCGAACAGGAUUAGAUACCCUGGUAGUCCACGCCGUAAACGAUGUACACUAGGCGUGCGCGCAGGAGCGUGCGUGCCGAAGCGAACGCGAUAAGUGUACCACCUGGGGAGUAUGCCGGCAACGGUGAAACUCAAAGGAAUUGACGGGGGCCCGCACAAGCGGUGGAGUAUGUGGUUUAAUUCGAUGAUACGCGAGAAACCUUACCAGGGUUUGACAUCGCGGGCGAGUCAUGGGAGACCAUGGCGCCCUGCAAAGGGGCCCGCGACAGGUGCUGCAUGGCUGUCGUCAGCUCGUGCCGUGAGGUGUUGGGUUAAGUCCCGCAACGAGCGCAACCCCCGUUUCCAGUUGCUACCGGGUAAAGCCGGGCACUCUGGAGAGACUGCCGGUGACAAACCGGAGGAAGGCGGGGAUGACGUCAAGUCAUCAUGGCCCUUAUGUCCUGGGCCACACACGUACUACAAUGGCCGGUACAAAGCGAAGCGAAACCGCGAGGUGGAGCGAACCGCAGAAAGCCGGUCUCAGUUCGGAUUGGAGUCUGAAACCCGACUCCAUGAAGGUGGAAUCGCUAGUAAUCGCGCAUCAGCAUGGCGCGGUGAAUACGUUCCCGGGCCUUGUACACACCGCCCGUCACACCACCCGAGUUGGGUGAACCCGAAGUCGGCAGUCCAACCGUCAGGAGGACGCCGCCGAAG